AUGGACUCUUUCUUUCGCACAUAUACUAAAAUUGGAACGAUACAGAGAAGAUUAGCAUGGCCCCUGCACAAGGAUGACACGCAAAUUCGUGAAGCGUGAAAUUCUUUC
Molecule: small nuclear RNA, 108 nt
Organism: Alligator mississippiensis (American alligator)
Lineage: Eukaryota; Metazoa; Chordata; Crocodylia; Alligatoridae
Source: Rfam